Molecule: long non-coding RNA, 952 nt
Organism: Bolinopsis microptera
Lineage: Eukaryota; Metazoa; Ctenophora; Tentaculata; Lobata; Bolinopsidae
Exons: 2
Source: RefSeq, a predicted model, not a curated record
GUGAUCACGUAAUAUGUGAACGACCCCAUAGAACAUGAACAGAGUUGGUACUCUCAUAAGUUUUAACCUAAAUCUUAACUUAAGUCUACCCUGUGGGCUGUUCCAUAUAAUUAUUAUUACUGUAACUUUGCAGAUUUUUGAACUCUAAAUCUGUUUUGAGCCUAGAGGGGUUAAUUUUGUGAUUUAUAAGAAAUUUUUUUGGAAGUUUUAGACUUUCACUUACUGCCCAGUUAAUUUUAAAACAUCUCCGUCAUACCUUGCUCAAAUAUUAGCUUGCUUUUACAUAAACUAAACCGAGUUUAUGUACCUUCCCUAAUAUAAUUUGUCAAUAUUUAUUAAAGCAGCUUACAAAACGUGAUUAAUGCUGUGGAUUAUUUUUCAUUUUGAUCAAGUCAUGAUUUCAAUUAGCCGAACAUUGUAUUAUUAAAAUUGCUUCAAAAGGUGAUUUACAUUUAUAUUCUAACCUUGAUUAAUAUGGUCUGGAUCGGUGUAAACUUACUACAGGUAAACUUACUACAAUACCAUAACUCACCUCCUAGAGUACCCAUUACUUAUGGCACAUAUCCCAAGUGUUUAGAAUACUCGGUAAUACAAAACGGUUGGGUGUUCCAGCCAAAAUACUUAGGUAUUCCAGGUGAUUCCAGGUAUCACCUGGUAUUCCAGGUGAUGGGGGGUACACGUACUUAAGUUAGACACGUACUGUAGUUCGACAAACACUAAAUUUCGACUCUGUCGAACUAAAGUGCGUGUCGAACUAGAGUAUGUGAAUCUAUAUUCCAGUUCAGGGUAUUGUUGGUAGGAGUUGUGUGUAUUGUGUAGUAACUAGUACCUGCAGUAUUUCUUAUCACCAUCAUUAAGGGGAAAUUUGAAGAUAUUUACAUGUAAAUUUAAAUCUUAACCAUGAAUUGUAGCAUUGCUGCCCUUUUCUGCCCGUCCUUUACAAGUUGAAAUA